AAUAGACGGGGGCCCGCACAAGCGGCGGAGCAUGCGGCUUAAUUCGAUGCAACGCGAAGAACCUUACCAGGGCUUGACAUGCACGGUGCACCUCUAGAGAUAGAGGGUCCUUUUGGGUCGUGCACAGGUGGUGCAUGGUUGUCGUCAGCUCGUGUCGUGAGAUGUUGGGUUAAGUCCCGCAACGAGCGCAACCCUCGUCCUGUAUUGCCAGCAGCGGCUUCGGCCGGCUGGGGACUUGCGGGAGACUGCCGGGGUCAACUCGGAGGAAGGUGGGGACGACGUCAAAUCAUCAUGCCCCUUAUGUCCUG
Molecule: ribosomal RNA, 308 nt
Filed under: Actinospica sp.
Lineage: Bacteria; Bacillati; Actinomycetota; Actinomycetes; Catenulisporales; Actinospicaceae
Description: bacterial SSU rRNA
Rfam family: Bacterial small subunit ribosomal RNA
Source: RNAcentral